Oncorhynchus tshawytscha (Chinook salmon) is the source of this 1331-nucleotide long non-coding RNA. The record is from Ensembl. NCBI's taxonomy places the organism in Eukaryota, Metazoa, Chordata, Actinopteri, Salmoniformes, Salmonidae.
GCAGGGGUGUGUGGUGAAGAUAUAGGAGAGUCUCUCUCCAGACUGGCUCAGUAGGGCAGUGGUGUGUGGUGAAGAUAUAGGAGAGUCUCUCUCCAGACUGGCUCAGUAGGGCAGUGGGGUGUGGUGAAGAUAUAGGAGAGUCUCUCUCUCCAGAAUGGCUCAGUAGGGCAGGGGUGUGUGGUGAAGAUAUAGGAGAGUCUCUCUCCAGACUGGCUCAGUAGGGCAGUGGUGUGUGGUGAAGAUAUAGGAGAGUCUCUCUCCAGACUGGCUCAGUAGGGCAGGGGUGUGUGGUGAAGAUAUAGGAGUCUCCUCCAGACUGGCUCAGUAGGGUAGGGGUGUGUGGUGAAGAUAUAGGAGAGUCACUCUCUCCAGAAUGGCUCAGUAGGGUAGGGGUGUGUGGUGAAGAUAUAGGAGAGUCUCUCUCCCAGAAUGGCUCAGUAGGGUAGGGGUGUGUGGUGAAGAUAUAGGAGAGUCCCUCUCUCCAGACUGGCUCAGUAGGGCAGGGGUGUGUGGUGAAGAUAUAGGAGUCUCGCUCCAGACUGGCUCAGUAGGGCAGGGGUGUGUGGUGAAGAUAUAGGAGAGUCUCUCUCUCCAGAAUGGCUCAGUAGGGCAGGGGUGUGUGGUGAAGAUAUAGGAGAGUCUCUCUCCAGACUGGCUCAGUAGGGCAGGGGUGUGUGGUGAAGAUAUAGGAGUCUCCCUCCAGACUGGCUCAGUAGGGCAGGGGUGUGUGGUGAAGAUAUAGGAGAGUCUCUCUCUCCAGAAUGGCUCAGUAGGGUAGGGGUGUGUGGUGAAGAUAUAGGAGAGUCUCUCUCCCCAGAAUGGCUCAGUAGGGUAGGGGUGUGUGGUGAAGAUAUAGGAGAGUCCCUCUCUCCAGAAUGGCUCAGUAGGGCAGGGGUGUGUUAUUUUACUUAUUACUUAUUUUCCACCAUAAUGUGCAAAUAAAUUCAUUAAAAAUCCUACAAUGUGAUUUUCUGGAUUUUUUUUUCUCGUUUUGUCUGUCAUAGUUGAAGUGUACCUAUGAUGAAAAUUACAGGCCUCUCUCAUCUUUCUAAGUGGGAGAACUUGCACAAUUGGUGGCUGACUAAAUACUUUUUUGCCCCACUGUAUAUGUCCUAACCGACUUGCCAAAACUAUAGAUUGUUAACAAGACAUUUGUGGAGUGGUUGAAAAACUAGUUUUAAUGCCUCCAACCUAAGUGGAUGUAAACUUCCUACAUAACCUGUAUGUUUUGUUCCUUUACUGUAAACCCGAACAACGCUGAGUCUCGUAAAGCAACAAUUCUCUCUGGGCUGGCCGGAGGAAUGUCCUUUAACUUGGAGAGUCUACAGAUG